UAGAGUUCUCGAAGGGAAAAAAAA
This 24-nucleotide non-coding RNA is filed under the name Rattus norvegicus (Norway rat). Lineage: Eukaryota; Metazoa; Chordata; Mammalia; Rodentia; Muridae. The record is from RNAcentral.